This 207-nucleotide ribosomal RNA is filed under the name uncultured bacterium. RNAcentral's name for it is "partial 16S ribosomal RNA". It matches the Rfam family "Bacterial small subunit ribosomal RNA", at positions 568 to 774 of the family's 1533-position model. The record is from RNAcentral.
GGCGCAGGCGGCUUAGUCAGUCUGAAGUGAAAGCCCGGGGCUCAACCCCGGAAUAGCUUUGGAUACUGCUGAGCUUGAGUGCGUGAGAGGAGAGUGGAAUUCCUGGUGUAGCGGUGAAAUGCGUAGAUAUCAGGAGGAACACCAAUGGCGAAAGCAGCUCUCUGGCACGUUACUGACGCUGAGGCCCGAAAGCGUGGGGAGCGAACA